AAUAAUCAAUCUAUUAACUAUAUUAUAUCAUCCUCUCAAAGAAAGGGUUGACUUUAAAAAAGACUAAUAUAAAAGAUUGCAAAACUAAACAUUGGCAAAUCAUCAAAACUUUGAAACAAAAACUAGCAUCUUCAAGACCAAACUCCUCAUCCAAAGAAAAUGAAGCAGAAGACAAAAGCACUUGUGAUUGGAUUAAUAGGUGCAGCUUUUACUUUACUUGCAUACUCACAAACCUUCAUAUCACCAAGUACAAGCAUCACAAUUGGACUUCUUGUUCUCAUGUUGGGGUUCCUAGUAGGAGAAGGUUUCAUAUCUCUUUAAUUCAUCCUUCAUCUAUAUCAUGAAUUUAUUUUACAUGUUUGUGUGUAAUUAGUCUUUAAUGGGAUAUUUUUAAUUUUUGUAAUUCUUAUUUAUUUUUCUUUCAUAUUUUGAGUCUGUUUAAAUAUUGGUGUAUGAAGGAUUGAAGGAAAAAAUUAUUUAUAUUUUGAGGUUAUGUAUUUUGAUUCAUUUGCCUAUUUUCUUUUUAUUUAUAAGUAAUAACCACUAAAACCUACGCAUACAACUUUGAGUUUGAGUUAAAUAUUGGUCAACGAUGGAUUGAAG
This 603-nucleotide long non-coding RNA is filed under the name Lathyrus oleraceus (garden pea). RNAcentral's name for it is "Pisum sativum (pea) long non-coding RNA (PSAT_LNC001214)". The record is from RNAcentral. Lineage: Eukaryota; Viridiplantae; Streptophyta; Magnoliopsida; Fabales; Fabaceae.